GACAGAAUUAAAUGCCCAGGAUAAUGAAGUAUAUUCUUCUCUUCAAUUCACAAAUUUGACUUAUUUUUUUAUCUGAACUUAUGGGAUAAAUUUUUUACUCUCUGAUUCUAUUUGCUAGCCGACCCCAAAUUUUUGGGAUAAAGGUUUAGUUGAGUUGAGUUGAGUCUAUUUGCACAGGAUAGCGUGAAGGAUAAGUAUUCCAUGCA
This 206-nucleotide unclassified non-coding RNA is filed under the name Hevea brasiliensis (rubber tree). Lineage: Eukaryota; Viridiplantae; Streptophyta; Magnoliopsida; Malpighiales; Euphorbiaceae. The record is from RNAcentral.